This 348-nucleotide transfer-messenger RNA is filed under the name Ruegeria sp. HKCCD6604. It matches the Rfam family "Alphaproteobacteria transfer-messenger RNA". From Rfam's summary of the family: Bacterial tmRNA, also known as 10Sa RNA or SsrA, is named for its dual tRNA and mRNA-like properties. Lineage: Bacteria; Pseudomonadati; Pseudomonadota; Alphaproteobacteria; Rhodobacterales; Roseobacteraceae. The record is from RNAcentral.
GAGUUUGCAUCCACCCAUUACCUCACCUAUAUAAGAGUCGUCCUUCGGGACUAUGGACAUAAACGCGCUCGUAAUAAGCGGAUCGGACCCGGGGGCGGUACCCGGCGGCUCCACCAACCAUCCUUCGUUUGGGGAUUUUGGGGCCGAAACAGGAUCGACGAACGUCUAAAGGGGUUAGCUUUGUCUCGGCUGUCUGCCACCGUUACCGGCGAAAACAGUACAAUUGCAAACGACAAUCGUGCUCCGGUUGCAGUUGCUGCGUAAGCAGUGGCAAGACCGAAACUUAAGCCCUUGCGCCUAGCCGCGUAAGGCGGGGUUCGCAGGUACCUGGCAACAGAAACCUGCAUU